CUCAAGCACCUAAGCAUGAAUGGGCAGUUUAGUGAGGAAGGCAUUAUCAUCACUCGACAAACUUGUUUUAGGACUCUUUUAAUGUAGUUGAUACCAUAAUUUGUAAUGUUAGAUAACAUGCUUUUCUUUGCAACAAUAUAUUACCAUGAUUUUCUUCAUGUCUGCUGAAACUGUGAUACCAAAGGAGCAGCAUAAUUUCUAAAUUUUAGUUUGAUUGAUUUCAUGAAUUGUCCAUUAAUUGAACUAUACAUCAUGCAGUCUUCAGG
Molecule: long non-coding RNA, 266 nt
Filed under: Arachis ipaensis
Lineage: Eukaryota; Viridiplantae; Streptophyta; Magnoliopsida; Fabales; Fabaceae
Description: long non-coding RNA (AIPA_LNC000583)
Source: RNAcentral